AGAGUUUGAUCAUGGCUCAGAUUGAACGCUGGCGGCAUGCUUUACACAUGCAAGUCGAACGGUAACGCGGGGGCAACCCUGGCGACGAGUGGCGAACGGGUGAGUAAUACAUCGGAACAUGUCCUGGAGUGGGGGAUAGCUCGGCGAAAGCCGGAUUAAUACCGCAUACGCUCUGAGGAGGAAAGCGGGGGACCUGGUAACGGGCCUCGCGCUGCGGGAGUGGCCGAUGUCGGAUUAGCUAGUUGGUGAGGUAAAGGCUCACCAAGGCGACGAUCCGUAGCUGGUCUGAGAGGAUGAUCAGCCACACUGGGACUGAGACACGGCCCAGACUCCUACGGGAGGCAGCAGUGGGGAAUUUUGGACAAUGGGGGCAACCCUGAUCCAGCCAUGCCGCGUGAGUGAAGAAGGCCUUCGGGUUGUAAAGCUCUUUCGGACGGAACGAAAUGGUUACGGAUAAUACCUGUGACUGAUGACGGUACUGUAAGAAGAAGCACCGGCUAACUACGUGCCAGCAGCCGCGGUAAUACGUAGGGUGCGAGCGUUAAUCGGAAUUACUGGGCAAAGCGUGCGCAGGCGGUUCGCCAAGUCAGGUGUGAAAUCCCCGGGCUUAACCUGGGAAUUGCGCUUGAAACUAGCGGGCUUGAGUGUGGCAGAGGGGGGUGGAAUUCCACGUGUAGCAGUGAAAUGCGUAGAGAUGUGGAGGAACACCGAUGGCGAAGGCAGCCCCCUGGGUCAACACUGACGCUCAUGCACGAAAGCGUGGGGAGCAAACAGGAUUAGAUACCCUAGUAGUCC
Molecule: ribosomal RNA, 795 nt
Filed under: uncultured bacterium
Lineage: Bacteria
Description: bacterial SSU rRNA
Rfam family: Bacterial small subunit ribosomal RNA
Source: RNAcentral